This 275-nucleotide long non-coding RNA is filed under the name Lathyrus oleraceus (garden pea). RNAcentral describes it as "Pisum sativum (pea) long non-coding RNA (PSAT_LNC039483)". Lineage: Eukaryota; Viridiplantae; Streptophyta; Magnoliopsida; Fabales; Fabaceae. The record is from RNAcentral.
GAUGUAUCAGCACUCCUCUUCUCACAAGAGCGACAUUUCAUUCCCUCUAAACCAUGGGGUUUGUUAAGAUUUGGGCAUACUGCUCCUGGAUCUGGUUUUGUGAAGGUGUCAUGUAUAAAUGUUUAGCUAAAAAGGGGGAGAGAAACAGUGUCCUGAAGAUGCACCAGAAGCAAGCAAUAUCUGGUAGCAAGGAGAAGAUGGAUUCAGACACAAAAGUCACUAACUGGGUAUAUCAGUUGUGUCUUGUGAUCUGAGUUAAGAAGACAGUUGUGUCU